UAACACAACAACUGAGAGCGUUUUUCUGAUGAGCAGCACCUCAGCUCACCUGUGACCAGUGGGCGGAUCAUUGACAGCGCAUGAACACACCGAAGUCGGCUGAACAACUUGGGAAAUGGGACCAUCAGAGGAGCACAUGAAUGCAGCAAUCCAUUUCUAUCCCUGCUUGGGGAGCUACAUGAAAAGAUUGUGGAGAUGCUCAGGGCAGCUCAAGAAUCAAUUUGCUGACUUCAAAGAAAUGGCUAAACUGUUGAAAAAAUCAACCCAAAGUGCUCUGAGCAGGCUGACGCUGAAGAGAAAAAUUCUGGAUCUUGCACAUUUCUCAAGAGCCAGCGAACCUGAGGAGCAAUGCACAUGUUUCGGCACAACAUGACCUGUGUUAACCAUGGAUGAUAACACUGACACCAUGUUGCGAUGACAUACUGUAUAUUGUGCAUAGCGACAGAUUUACCAUCUGCCGCCGAUUCUAUAUGAGUCUUUGACAGCACGUAUGCCAGAUGAUGGUUCAGCUGUCUGACAGUGUGUUUUUAUUCAUGUGCAUCUCUACUUGAAUGUGAGUUGUGUUGUUGUGGUCGCUGUGCCAACAUUGCGUUCUUGUGUGCUCAACUUCUUGUGUACUACUAAUCUAAAAGUGAAUGGAUGAGAGGGGUUUAUCGCUUUUAAAGCUCACUUUUAGGCCUUUUUUUCAACUCUGUUGUAAUACUAAUGCAGCUACCUGUGUGUUCAUAAGUCAAAGCAGAUGAUGACUCGCAUUAGAGUGAGGAGAAUAUGACAGAAUUUCAAUCCUGAGCUAAAGGAAAGGUGCAUUUGUUUCAAAAUUUGUUUUCACAUUUUUGCCAGCAUGACACGAAGCAACAAGAAACCUGCAAAGGGACAAAGAGAAAGAGAUGACAUGUAAUAGCAGUAGACCCAACCCUGCAUGGAUUUCUUAGAUUACUCAGCUACUAGUACGUCUUGCAGUAUUCUGAAUUAAGAUGCCACAUGUAAGGUUGUAAAAUGUAAUACAAUUUUAACUCAA
Micropterus salmoides (largemouth bass) is the source of this 1018-nucleotide long non-coding RNA. RefSeq lists it as uncharacterized. The transcript has 3 exons. NCBI's taxonomy places the organism in Eukaryota, Metazoa, Chordata, Actinopteri, Centrarchiformes, Centrarchidae. The record is from RefSeq and is a predicted model, not a curated record.